UUGGGCACAUUAUUUAAACUUUCUGAACUAUUAUUUUUUUAGUUUGUAAGUUGAACAUCUACUUUAUAGGGAUGUUUCAAGAAUCAAGUGAGGUAACAUAUCUAAGACCCUCACAUGUGUCUGGUAACCAAACGGUGCUCAGUAAGUGAACACCAUUCCCUUCCUUCCCUUUCUCUUAAUGGACAGAGUAGACAGAGAAACAGAGUUCUACUUGAUGAUGCUAGCAUUCAUGGGCAAACAAUGGGAUAAUUCUCUUGGGGAAAUGAGUACAUCACUGGAUACAUUCAAGAAGGAUAUUUCUUUGGUAGAAGAUGAGUUGAACCAGAAGCAAGCUGGCAUGUGGCAGGCUGCAGAUGUUGGGAGGCCACACGGCAAGGAACUGCCGCAUCUCUAGGAGCUGAGGGUGGACCCUGACUGGCAGCCAACAAGAAACUGAAGCUCUCAAGCCUAUCACCGCCUUCAGACGUGAGCUGAAAUCUACACCAUCAGCUCUCUGACUGUCAGGCUUUGGACUAUACUUUGGGCUUUCCUGGGUCUCUUACCUGGCAGACAGCAGAUUUUGGAACUUUUCAGCCUCCAUAAUCAUUUCCCAGAAGAACCACAAAGCAUAAAUUUCCCCAAAAGGGGAAUUUUGUUGAUGGCUUUAGUCUAUUCCCUCCUAAAAGACCAGCUAUAACCAAAUGAAGUAAACAUAACCUCAAGGUUGUAUUGUCUUCAUAAUAAAAGAUGAAGCUUAGAACUGGA
Pongo pygmaeus (Bornean orangutan) is the source of this 744-nucleotide long non-coding RNA. RefSeq lists it as uncharacterized. The transcript has 4 exons. NCBI's taxonomy places the organism in Eukaryota, Metazoa, Chordata, Mammalia, Primates, Hominidae. The record is from RefSeq and is a predicted model, not a curated record.